This 777-nucleotide ribosomal RNA is filed under the name uncultured Neocallimastigales. Its description in RNAcentral is "partial large subunit ribosomal RNA". It matches the Rfam family "Eukaryotic large subunit ribosomal RNA", at positions 19 to 621 of the family's 3401-position model. Lineage: Eukaryota; Fungi; Neocallimastigomycota; Neocallimastigomycetes; Neocallimastigales. The record is from RNAcentral.
CGAGCACGCGCGUGUGGCAUAUCAAUAAGCGGAGGAAAAGAGACUAACAAGGAUUCCCUUAGUAACGGCGAGUGAAGCGGGAAGAGCUCAAAUUUGAAAUCUUCAAGGUUCUACCUUGACGAAUUGUAGUUUAAAGAAGUGUUUUCUGUUAGUGGAGUGGCAAAAGUUCUUUGGAAUAGGACAUCAUAGAGGGUGAGAAUCCCGUAUUUGGUCAUUCUCUUCCUAGCUUUGUGAUACACUUUCAACGAGUCGGAUUGUUUGGGAAUGCAGUCCAAAAUGGGUGGUAAAUUUCAUCUAAAGCUAAAUAUUGGCGAGAGACCGAUAGCGAACAAGUACCGUGAGGGAAAGAUGAAAAGAACUUUGAAAAGAGAGUUAAACAGUACGUGAAAUUGUCAAAAGGGAAGCGUUUGACACCAGUGUUGUUUUUUCCGAAAAUCAAUUACGAAUGUUUUGUUUUUGAGGAGUUAUGACUUCAUCGGCUUGCUCCUUUCUUUAUGAAACUUUCUUAAUGCACUUUUCGGUUAACAAGUCAACAUCAAUUUCUUUUGUUGUAAAAGGGUAUGAGGAAGGUGGCUUUCUUUUCGGAGAAAGUGUUUAUAGCCUUGUGCCUCUACAAUCGGAGAGAUUGAGGUCUGCAGCGUAGAUCCUUCGGGGUUAGAUACGUUUGUGCUAAGUUAUAGCUUUUCAUAGACAACUUGUUGACUAUGUUUAGUCUUGUAGCUUACUCGCUGACGCUAUUUUACCUACGCUUAGGAUGUUGAACUCUAUCACACACAG